AUGCCUCUAUUGUGCUGCCCUGCAGACGUGAUUGUAGUCCCCGACACUGGACUCUCCUGGCUAACUGCUAUCUGUAGCUGUGUGUCCGCCUGGGGUUUUCCGACCUCCAGCAGAACGGAGGAGAGCCCCAGCCGUGAGGCGGCAGGACUACAGAGAAUGUGUCCUCGGGGCCUGCGGCGGGAAGAUGGAGUCUCGACUGCUAACUGGCUUCGUUUUGAGCCGAACAGCUGUUGAAAAGCCUGAUUGCACUAAAUUGUAUAUCCGGUUCCACCAUGGACUUCAGCACAUCAGUUAAUGAUCACAGCGUCCUGAAAAACUUAACUCACUGUAUUCACUUAAUUCACUGCAGUGCCUCCUUUCCUCAGAUGACCACUGUUGCUUUCUCUACAUUGGGCAAUCUUGUUUGUUCAGGAAGAGACUCCAGGAAAUUCUGACUCUAACAGACAGUGGGGUUAAGCUCUGCCAGCUGGGAAAGGGAGCACAGUUUCAAUCCUGCGACCUGCCACCUUUGUUAACCAUGCAGUGAUACUACAGUAACUAGUCUGCUCAGAUCAGUAAUGGACGGAUUUUCCACCAUAAAUACCAGUUUGUAGCCAUACAUACAACAGCGGAGCAUGGAUGAGCACAGUCAUAAGGCCUCCCUCCUCCCACUAGAAAAAAGCUUGAGUCAAAUCCCACUGUGAUCUGUUAAGAUGCUCCUGUUCUCAGCUGUCUAUUCUUUCCCUCUGCUGAUGAUUAUCAGGACCAGCAGAAUGAAACAUGCGCCCACCCUCAUGCUUUGGCACAAAGCAUAGCGUCGCUUGAUUAAACUGCUGGGACGACGGGUUUGAGCCAAGUCACCAGACUCUGAGCUGCAGUUGGUGAGGAUAGGAACACAUCUUCCAUUCUGCUUAUUCUGCCACAGUGAAAGCAAUCUCUAUCAGAAGGAUGGGGUAUAACAGAUGGAGCUAUAACUUAUACCACUUUGCAACAGUUCCUAAAGCUCAUGGGUCAAGGAUGGUGCAAGACUGCUUGUGCGGUAUUAGUAAGAGAAAUUUAUGUAUGAACAUACAAUGUGAAAUAGGCCUGCUGAGGAGCAAAAGCUGCAUAGUGUAUAAUGUUUAUCUUGCGUUAAUCAAGUCAUAAUGUACUUAACACUGUAUUUGUUUUCACUUGCUGGCAAAACUCCCCACAGGUGUUUUAUUCUGCCUUACAGCAGUUAAAAAUGUGAGAAAUGUAUAAAAAUUGUUUAAAAAAGAUCUAUUAAUUGUGAAAUUGCCUGGUUUAUCAUAUAAUAAACCAUGGGGGCUUGUCAGAGGGAUCACACUAAUCCAUAGUGUGAAACAGGUCAGAUCCCUUCCUACAGUCACUAGCUUUAACAAAGCUGUCUUUGAUACCUCAGCUCAGGUAUUUUCAGCUUAAAUGCAGAAGCCUUGCAUACAAAGCCUGUAAGAUGUGGGGUGUCUUUCCUGCCCCUCCAUUCUGCAUUUCUGUCUUAGUGGGGUCUGAAAAAUAUGCUGCUCAUGUACAGUUACACUGAUGUUCAUGGAAAUUGCAGGUACCUCAUUUCUGGAAAUCAAACCCUGGUGCUUUUUCAGCCUCAGGGAACUGUAUUUCCUUGCCAUAGGAUAACAGAGAGGUCAGAAGGCUUUGCGAUCCUUGGACAGAAGACUGUGUAGAAUAAUAGAAUGAACUGGGGAAAAAAAAUGUGCUGAAUGCAUCUGGGAGUUUUUUGUGCAUACUAGACAAUAUAUUCUAUACUCACUUUCUGUGACUAAGUUUACUGUUACCGAGGCCUAGAAUUAGCCAAAUAAAACAGCAGGGAAG
Aquila chrysaetos chrysaetos is the source of this 1806-nucleotide long non-coding RNA. The record is from Ensembl. NCBI's taxonomy places the organism in Eukaryota, Metazoa, Chordata, Aves, Accipitriformes, Accipitridae.